UACGUAGGGUCCGAGCGUUGUCCGGAGUGACUGGGCGUAAAGCGCGCGCAGGCGGCCCGCGAGGUGUCCUGUGAAAGCCCCGUGCUCAACGCGGGAGGGUCAGGGCAAACCGGCGGGCUUGAGGCCGGUAGAGGUGGGUGGAACUCCUGGUGGAGUGGUGAAAUGCGUAGAGAUCAGGAAGAACACCGGUGGCGAAGGCGGGUCUCUGGGCCGAUACUGACGCUGAGGAGCAAAAGCGUGGGGAGCGAACAGG
RNAcentral lists this ribosomal RNA (253 nucleotides) under uncultured bacterium. Its description in RNAcentral is "partial 16S ribosomal RNA". It matches the Rfam family "Bacterial small subunit ribosomal RNA", at positions 524 to 776 of the family's 1533-position model. The record is from RNAcentral.